GACGAACGCUGGCGGCGUACUUAACACAUGCAAGUCGAGCGGUAAGGCCUUUCGGGGUACACGAGCGGCGAACGGGUGAGUAACACGUGGGUGACCUGCCCUGCACUCUGGGAUAAGCCUGGGAAACUGGGUCUAAUACCGGAUAUGACUACAUGCUGCAUGGUGUGUGGUGGAAAGAUUUAUCGGUGCAGGAUGGGCCCGCGGCCUAUCAGCUUGUUGGUGGGGUAAUGGCCUACCAAGGCGACGACGGGUAGCCGACCUGAGAGGGUGACCGGCCACACUGGGACUGAGACACGGCCCAGACUCCUACGGGAGGCAGCAGUGGGGAAUAUUGCACAAUGGGCGGAAGCCUGAUGCAGCGACGCCGCGUGAGGGAUGAAGGCCUUCGGGUUGUAAACCUCUUUCAGCAGGGACGAAGCGUGAGUGACGGUACCUGCAGAAGAAGCACCGGCUAACUACGUGCCAGCCGCCGCCGUAA
RNAcentral lists this ribosomal RNA (478 nucleotides) under uncultured bacterium. Its description in RNAcentral is "partial 16S ribosomal RNA". It matches the Rfam family "Bacterial small subunit ribosomal RNA", at positions 28 to 523 of the family's 1533-position model. The record is from RNAcentral.